RNAcentral lists this ribosomal RNA (374 nucleotides) under uncultured Chitinophaga sp. RNAcentral describes it as "bacterial SSU rRNA". It matches the Rfam family "Bacterial small subunit ribosomal RNA", at positions 19 to 390 of the family's 1533-position model. Lineage: Bacteria; Pseudomonadati; Bacteroidota; Chitinophagia; Chitinophagales; Chitinophagaceae. The record is from RNAcentral.
CUGGCUCAGGAUGAACGCUAGCGGCAGGCCUAAUACAUGCAAGUCGAGGGGCAGCACAGGUAGCAAUACUGGGUGGCGACCGGCAAACGGGUGCGGAACACGUACGCAACCUUCCUUUAAGCGGGGAAUAGCCCAGAGAAAUUUGGAUUAAUACCCCAUAAGAAUGUGAUCUGGCAUCAGGUAGCAUUUAAAGAUUUAUCACUUAAAGAUGGGCGUGCGUCUGAUUAGGUAGUUGGUGAGGUAACGGCUCACCAAGCCGACGAUCAGUAACUGGCGUGAGAGCGCGACCAGUCACACGGGCACUGAGACACGGGCCCGACUCCUACGGGAGGCAGCAGUAAGGAAUAUUGGUCAAUGGACGCAAGUCUGAACCA